Dendroctonus ponderosae (mountain pine beetle) is the source of this 1094-nucleotide long non-coding RNA. RefSeq lists it as uncharacterized. Lineage: Eukaryota; Metazoa; Arthropoda; Insecta; Coleoptera; Curculionidae. The transcript has 3 exons. The record is from RefSeq and is a predicted model, not a curated record.
UUGGUAGUUCUGCACAAAACCAAAACGUCAUUAGUCAUAAAGUCAUAAAUGUCUGUGAUCAUAGAAAAUCUAAAAGCAACAUACCACCGAUAUACCAGACAAGUAAUUACCAGGAGGUUGAUGCAUAACGAAUGCAUUACAUCAUCAAAACGAACUUGCUCUAAGAUGUGCAAUUACAGGAAAAAGCAAACAUACAAUUUUGGGGUGGAAUGGAAAAGAACAUUAUACAUUGGAAGUUUUGCAAAAAAAAUCACAACUGUGAAUUUAUUAGUGUUUUUCCAUUUAAAAAGGGGAGGUCAAUACUAUUAAAUCGACUAGAGAGUUGUGGCUUGAUUGUCGUCAAGCAGGAUUUACUUUUUUAACAACACGUGCAAUCAAUCAGAACUCACUUGAAAAUAUAUUUUGCGUUAUUCGACAAGAAGGAGUGGGAAAUGUUUAUCCAAAUUGCUUUGCUUAAUGUGUAGCUUAAAUCCCAGUUUAUUAAAUAAUUUAGUGUUAAACAGAAGCAUUGCAAAAAAUUGUGAAGAUGAUAAUAUGUCACUUAGAAAAUUUACAGAACUUUUUAGAAGAAAAAUCGCCAAGUUUAUUAAGCCCUAAUGAUUUUAUUGCCACUCCAUUUCAGCACAGGAAAUGGAGUAGGAAAGUAAUUGUGACAAUYAAGCAACUUCUUAUGUUUGUGGAUUUCUGUUCAAAAACUUAAAAAAGUAUGUUAAWYGUGAUAUUUGCUACGGUGUCCUUUUACAGAGGAAUUAGAACAACAUCAUUCAUUUGUUAGYUUUAAGACGUAUGAUAAUAUUAAAAGACUGAAUUAUGUAACUAAACAGCUAGUCAAAUACGUUAGUGACAUUUAUGAUUUAAGUUUUUUUAUAUUAUAAAUUUAAACAUAAAGGCUAGUGAUUUAAAGCAAAACGUUAUAAUGUGUUUAAGUCAAGAGUGUGAUUUUAGUUGGUUUUGUUACCAAUUACACAAUAAAAACCUUAAAAAAAAUUAUUAAGGAAUAUUUGGUUAUUUUGGUUAAGAAGUUUGACCAAGAUAAUAAACAUAGCAUUCAGGUUGAAAAACAGAAAACGAAAAAUGAAAAUAAAAGAAGAAAG